GCCCCCCUACGGGAGGCAGCAGUGAGGAAUAUUGGUCAAUGGGCGCAAGCCUGAACCAGCCAAGUCGCGUGAGGGAUGACGGUCCUAUGGAUUGUAAACCUCUUUUGUCGGGGAGCAAGGCCCGCCACGUGUGGCGGGAAGGAGGGUACCCGAAGAAAAAGCAUCGGCUAACUCCGUGCCAGCAGCCGCGGUAAUACGGAGGAUGCGAGCGUUAUCCGGAUUUAUUGGGUUUAAAGGGGGCGUAGGCGGAAGGUUAAGUCAGCGGUCAAAUGUAGGUGCUCAACACAGGCCUGCCGUUGAAACUG
RNAcentral lists this ribosomal RNA (305 nucleotides) under uncultured bacterium. Its description in RNAcentral is "bacterial SSU rRNA". It matches the Rfam family "Bacterial small subunit ribosomal RNA", at positions 333 to 635 of the family's 1533-position model. The record is from RNAcentral.